AUAUUGUGACAGAUAUUUGUGAACUAUUAAAAAUAAUAAUUUGAUAAUAUUUCUUAUAAGCUUAACCUACUAUUAUUUUAUAAUUAAAAAAUGAAGUCAACUGAAUGGAAUAAAAUUAUUAAAUAUGAAUAAGUGAUUUUUAUUUUGAAUCAUAUAUUUUUAGUCAUAAUUUUAUAAACUCAAUUUUAUGUUAUGUAUUUAUAUAUUUGGAUAUACGCUUCCAACACGUAUCCGCUUCCUACUUUUUUAAAUCCCGC
Molecule: long non-coding RNA, 257 nt
Filed under: Brassica napus (rape)
Lineage: Eukaryota; Viridiplantae; Streptophyta; Magnoliopsida; Brassicales; Brassicaceae
Description: long non-coding RNA (BNAP_LNC005801)
Source: RNAcentral